AUCUGCAUCCAUCUUUCCUAUUCUCUCGCUCCAUCUCUCAUCCUCUCUCAAAUCUCUCUGACCGGUGGACUCCGUGUGGGCGGAGCGAAGAGGGAGCCAAGCCAGCCGAGCCGACCCCUCUCCUCUUUCCCUUUCUCGCAGCGAUUCGCAAUUUGCCCCUUCUCGCUCCAUCUCUCUUUCUCAUCCCGUGCUUCCACCGAUAUGCGUAGCCAACGACAUUUAAGCGCUAUGAGACGGCUGCUCGGCGAAGUUCGUUCCCGGGUUGCCGGCGUGUUCAAUCGGGUGACUGCAUGCAGGCCCGGAUGUGAAGCCUCCAAAAUCGCUGGUGCCCCCGUUCCACCUGAGCCGAUGUGAAGCCAAGUCGCUGGCACCCCGUUCUAGACCACCAGAUCCGGAGUGCCACCGACGGUUCCUGUCCCCAUCACGCCCGCGUCAACGACCGCCAAGUUGCUGGCACCUCGUUCCAGACCACCAGAUCUGGAGCGCCGCCGCCGGAUCUCGUCCCCAUCACGCCUGCGUCAACGACCGCCGCGGAACCCUCCUCGGCUCCUCCUCCUCAACGAUUCACGGCAAGAACUGGGACAGCACCGUGCCCUUCCCCGUCUCCAACACUACAGUGCUCGCGCCGUCGGUGCUGUCGUAUUUAUUAUCAUUCGAAUAUGUGUGGAUUUGACCCCUUCGAUUGCCUUCCCAUCAUGUUUUGUUCAUUCUUUUCUGAAUCUGAUUCUCAUGCCUGGUGCGAAUUUUCUAUAAAUCGUGGUGAGGAUUUGUUCCUUCUUUCCCGGUUAUAAUUCAUUGAAUCAGCC
Molecule: ribosomal RNA, 806 nt
Filed under: Triticum aestivum (bread wheat)
Lineage: Eukaryota; Viridiplantae; Streptophyta; Magnoliopsida; Poales; Poaceae
Description: partial small subunit ribosomal RNA
Source: RNAcentral